Molecule: ribosomal RNA, 247 nt
Filed under: uncultured bacterium
Lineage: Bacteria
Description: partial 16S ribosomal RNA
Rfam family: Bacterial small subunit ribosomal RNA
Source: RNAcentral
GAUCAUGGCUCAGGAUGAACGCUAGCUACAGGCUUAACACAUGCAAGUCGAGGGGCAGCGGGAUUGAAGCUUGCUUCAAUUGCCGGCGACCGGCGCACGGGUGAGUAACGCGUAUCCAACCUUCCGUACACCCAGGGAUAGCCUUUCGAAAGAAAGAUUAAUACCUGAUGGUAUCUUAAGCACUACAUGUAAUUAAGAUUAAAGAUUUAUCGGUGUACGAUGGGGAUGCGUUCCAUUAGGUAGUAGG